Molecule: long non-coding RNA, 2973 nt
Filed under: Nicotiana benthamiana
Lineage: Eukaryota; Viridiplantae; Streptophyta; Magnoliopsida; Solanales; Solanaceae
Description: long non-coding RNA (NBEN_LNC004587)
Source: RNAcentral
AUCUUGAGCAAUAUAGAAUGAUGCAUAAGGCCUGUCAAAGGCUUAGUAAAAACAUCUGCGAGCUGAGAUGUAGUAGGAACGUGAUGCAAUGCAAUAAGGCCCUCAUGAAGCUUGGUUCCGAUGAAGUGGUAAUCCACAUCAAUGUGUUUGGUCCGCUCAUGAAACACAGGAUUCUUGGCAAUGUGGAGUGAUGCCUGAUUAUCACACAAAGCAGGCACAACAGUGGUAACAAGAACACCAAAAUUACACAGUAGUCGAACAAGCAAGGCGAGCUCACCAACAACUUUACUCAUGGCCCUGUACUCAGCCUCAGCAGAUGACAGAGACACCAUAGGCUGUUUCUUUGCCGUCCAACCAAUAUGAGAGCCACCCAAUAGAAUGCAAAAAUCAGAGACAGAUCUCCUAGUGUCUGGGCAGCAAGCCCAGUCACUAUCACAAUAGGAAGAUAAGGAGAGAUCAGUGGUGUAGUUGAUGAAGACCCCAACUUCAGAAGAUCCUCUAAGAUAUCUGAGUGUAUGCAAAGCUGCAUGCAUGUGAGAGGAAGUAGGCUUCUGAAGAUAUUGACUAAGAUGUUGUACAGCAUAGGCCAAAUCAGGUCUAGUGUGAGUGAGGAAAUUGAGCUUCCCCACCAGGCUUCUAUUGGAUUCAGGAGAGGGAAGAGGAUCUCUUUCAUCCAUGGCUAAAUCAGGUCUAGUGUAAGUGAGGAAAUUGAGCUUCCCCACCAGGCUUCUAUAGGAUUUAGGAGAGGGAAUAGGAUCUCCUUCAUCCAUUUUGAGCUUGACAAAAAGGUCAAGUGGACAAGUAACAGGAGCAAAAUCUUCACAGUGAUAUGCCUUGAGAAGGUCAGUAACAAAUUUCUUCUGUGAAGGAGCAGCCCAUCAGAGUGGUAACUGACCUCAAUUCCAAGAAAAUAGUUGAGAACUCCCAAGUCCUUGAUUUUAAACUCAAGGUCUAGAAAGCUCUUCAAGGCCGUAAUUUCCUCCAAAUCAUUACCAGUGAGAAUAAUAUCAUCAACAUAGAGAGCCAACAAUACAAUAGAAAAGGCAGAUUUCUUAAGAAAAAGGGAAUAAUCAUUGAAAUAAGAAGAAUAGCCCCUAGAACAUAAGGCUUGAGAAGCUUGGCAUACCACUGCCUAGAAGCUUGUCUCAAACCAUAUAAGGAUUUCUGAAGAAGGCAAACCAGAGGAGAAGAAGAGGAAGCAUAGUUGACAGUCAGCCCAUGAGGCAAUCUCAUAUAAACCUCUUCAUCCAAAUCACCAUGUAAAAAAGCAUUGUUCACAUCAAGUUGAAAAAGAGACCAAUUCUGCAUAACAGCCACAUCAAUGAGGGACUUAAUAGUGAAAAAUUUGACAACAGGAGAGAAAGCUUCAGUGAAAUCCACACCCUCAACUUGGGUGUCACCCCUAACAACCAAUCUACUUUUAUAUCUCUCCACAGACCCAUCAGCCCUAUACUUGAUCUUAUAGACCCAUUUGCAACCAGUAGGUCUUUUGCCAGGAGGAAGUUGAACUAUAGAGCAAGUAUGAUUAGCUUCCAAGGCUGCAAACUCCUUUGUCAUUGCCUCCUGCCAUGCAGGGAGAGAGGUAGCCUGCUGAUAAGAGGUAGGCUCUACCUCUGCACUAUUAACCAAACUUUGAAGGCAAGUGGAAGAAGAAUUGGGCCCAGAGAGAGAUGGAGGGAGAUUACAGACACACUAUUGGAGAUGAGCAGGAGGAGCAUGAGUCCUGUUGGACCUUCUGGGAGCAGGGUCUGCAGGCACAGAAGGAGAUUGGUAUAGGGAAGAAGGAGAUGAGGAAGGAGAAGGAAGAGGUUCAUAAGUGGAAGAAGGUGAGGAGUUGAACAAGGAAUCAUCAGUAUGAGGAAGCCAAACAGGAGAGGGGUUAAGAGUAGGAGAAGGAACAGGGAGGGUAUUCCCUGAAGAAGCAAAGGAAAAGACAGAUUCAUGGAAGACCACAUCCUUGGAUACUAGGGUAAGUUUAGUCUUCAAGUUAUACAACUUGUAGCCCUUUUUACCUAAUGGAUAUCCUAGAAACAUACAAGGAUCAGCUAUGGGUUGAAAUUUAUCCCUAUUCUGUUUGGGAACUGAGGCAAAACAAAGACAACCAAAUGUUUUAAGAUGGCCAUAAGAAGUAACAUGUCCAAAAAGCAGCUCAAAAGGCGAUAUAUUGUUAAGAAGUUUGGAAGGAAAUCUAUUUAUGAGGUAGGUUGCAGUAAGCACACUAUCUCUCCAGAAUCUAAGGAGUAGUUGGGAAUGAAAAAGUAAGGCUUUUGAGGUUUCUAGAAGAUAUCUAUGUUUUCUUUCAACCACACCAUUUUGUUGUAGUGCGUGAUAACAGGAAGUUUGGUGUAUUAUUCCAUUUUCAGAAACGAAAUUGCUGCCAGAACCACUAGACCCAAGUUCAAAUGCAUUGUCACUUCUAAUAGUUUGUACAAUAGACUGAAAUUUGGUUUUGAUCAUGGCAAUGAAAGCUUUGAUAAGGGGAAAGGCAUUGCUCUUGGACCCCAUAAGGUGAGUCCAAGUAGCUCUAGUAAAGUCAUCAACUAUUGUUAGGAAAUAUUUACAUCCAUUAUGAGUAGGUGUGGCAUAAGGACCCCAGGUAUGCACAUCGAUGAGUUGAAAAGCAUGUGUUGUAUUAAUGGAACAGUCAUGAAAAGGCAAUCUAGAUUGUCUGGAUAAUGGGCAAACAGUACAUAUGAAGGGUUGUUUAGUUGAAAAUUUGCAUGGUAUAUGAGGGAUGUCAUUCAUCCUAACAAAAGGUAUGUGCCCUAGUCUAUUAUGCCAUAACAUCUCCAUUUUAUUCAAUUCAGAAUGGUAUGUACAAUAAGAGGAAGAAACAGAAUCAACAGCUAAUGGAGACUGGUAUUUACAAGGAGCAUGAGAUUGAAGAGAAGAAGAAGAAGAUUGCACAAGCCUGUAAAGUCCAUCAUCCAAUUACCAAUUUCCAGUGGCCUCUUCAGAGAAGGGGCAUGUAUC